CCUACGGGUGGCUGCAGUGGGGAAUAUUCCGCAAUGGGCGAAAGCCUGGCGGAGCAACGCCGCGUGAGGGAAGAAGGCCUUCGGGUUGUAAGCCUCUGUUGUAUGGGAAGAAGGAUUGACGGUACCAUACGAGGAAGCCCCGGCUAACUACGUGCCAGCAGCCGCGGUAAUACGUAGGGGGCGAGCGUUGUCCGGAAUUACUGGGCGUAAAGGGCGUGUAGGCGGCAAACUAAGUUAGAGGUGAAAGAUUGGGGCUUAACCCCAAGAGUGCCUCUAAAACUGGUUAGCUUGAGUGCGGGAGAGGAAAGCGGAAUUCCUGGUGUAGCGGUGAAAUGCGUAGAUAUCAGGAGGAACACUCGUGGCGAAGGCGGCUUUCUGGCCUGCAACUGACGCUGAGGCGCGAAAGCGUGGGGAGCAAACAGGAUUAGAUACCCCUGUAGUC
This 442-nucleotide ribosomal RNA is filed under the name uncultured bacterium. RNAcentral's name for it is "bacterial SSU rRNA". It matches the Rfam family "Bacterial small subunit ribosomal RNA", at positions 338 to 795 of the family's 1533-position model. The record is from RNAcentral.